This 834-nucleotide long non-coding RNA is filed under the name Struthio camelus australis. Its description in RNAcentral is "lncRNA (ENSSCUG00000014141.1)". Lineage: Eukaryota; Metazoa; Chordata; Aves; Struthioniformes; Struthionidae. The record is from RNAcentral.
CUAGCUCUGUGGAUUCUUAUCAAGUUCAGUUGUCCAGUGUUGUAAAUUGUUGCUGUUUUGUUUUUACAGGGUGGAUCAUACUCCUCACAAAACUAUGGUGAUAGCCAAGUAAGUAGUAGGUUUUUAUUUCCUCCCACUGAGGUUGUGCUUUACAAGGUUCCAUUAUCUCUGUUCAAAAUUAGCUCUGUAAUGUUGUAAUAUUUAUUCUAAUUUUGUUUGUUUUGCAGAGUGGCUCAUCAUCUUCACAACAUUAUGGUGGCAGCCAGAACUAUGGAGGUGGCCAAGGUGGAUCAUCCUCUUCAGACAGCUAUAGUGAUAAUCAGGAUUCACAGGUUUCUUCAGAUGAUAAUCCCAAUGCUUGUGAUGAUAAUGACACUACAUAUAGUGCUAAUGGUCAGAGUUCUGGUUGUUCAAACAGAAAGAUUGUUGUUGCACGCGACACAUCACAUGUUUUGAGCAAAAGAGACUAUGAUGUACAGAAUGGAUCUUCUACUUCAAAUGGCAACCACACCAACCUCCAGGAUGGAUCCUUUAUUGCAACCGGUGGUGGAUCAAGUAGCCAGGGUGGUUGCAUUUGUCCUGAUGGAAGCAGUGGAAUUAGACAGGGAGCGCCAGGUUCUUCACACAGCACGUACUCUGGUAACCAGGGAGGAUCCUCCUUCUACCCGGGAGGAUCCUCCUUCUACCCAGGAGGAUCUUAUGGACAGGGAGCGCCAGGUUCUUCACACAGCACGUACUCUGGUAACCAGGGGGGACCUUCCUUCUAUCCUGGUGGAUCUCAUGGACAGGGAGCGCCAGGUUCUUCACACAGCACGUACUCUGGUAACCAGGUAA